CAGCAGCCGCGGGAACACCGAGGCCUCAAGCGUUGUUCGGAUUCAUUGGGCGUAAAGGGUGCGUAGGCGGUCGGGUAAGUCGGAUGUGAAAUCCUGGGGCUCAACCUCAGAACUGCAUUCGAUACUGCUUGGCUAGAGGACUGGAGAGGAGAUCGGAAUUCACGGUGUAGCAGUGAAAUGCGUAGAUAUCGUGAGGAAGACCAGUGGCGAAGGCGGAUCUCUGGACAGUUCCUGACGCUGAUGCACGAAGGCUAGGGGAGCAAACGGGAUUAGAUACCCCGGUAGUCCCUGUCUCUUAUAC
RNAcentral lists this ribosomal RNA (301 nucleotides) under uncultured bacterium. Its description in RNAcentral is "partial 16S ribosomal RNA". It matches the Rfam family "Bacterial small subunit ribosomal RNA", at positions 509 to 807 of the family's 1533-position model. The record is from RNAcentral.